AAAUCUGGAUCAAGCUGAAAAUUGAAACACUGAACAACGAGAGUUGUUCGUGAGUCUCUCAAAUUUUCGCAACACGAUGAUGAAUCGAAAGAAACAUCUUCGGGUUGUGAGGUUAAGCGACUAAGCGUACACGGUGGAUGCCCUGGCAGUCAGAGGCGAUGAAGGACGUGCUAAUCUGCGAUAAGCGUCGGUAAGGUGAUAUGAACCGUUAUAACCGGCGAUUUCCGAAUGGGGAAACCCAGUGUGAUUCGUCACACUAUCAUUAACUGAAUCCAUAGGUUAAUGAGGCGAACCGGGGGAACUGAAACAUCUAAGUACCCCGAGGAAAAGAAAUCAACCGAGAUUCCCCCAGUAGCGGCGAGCGAACGGGGAGGAGCCCAGAGCCUGAAUCAGUGUGUGUGUUAGUGGAAGCGUCUGG
RNAcentral lists this ribosomal RNA (418 nucleotides) under Escherichia coli 08BKT055439. Its description in RNAcentral is "partial 16S ribosomal RNA". The stretch from base 111 to 418 matches the Rfam family "Bacterial large subunit ribosomal RNA", at positions 1 to 313 of the family's 2925-position model. Lineage: Bacteria; Pseudomonadati; Pseudomonadota; Gammaproteobacteria; Enterobacterales; Enterobacteriaceae. The record is from RNAcentral.